Molecule: ribosomal RNA, 253 nt
Filed under: uncultured bacterium
Lineage: Bacteria
Description: partial 16S ribosomal RNA
Rfam family: Bacterial small subunit ribosomal RNA
Source: RNAcentral
UACGAAGGGGGCUAGCGUUGCUCGGAAUCACUGGGCGUAAAGCGCACGUAGGCGGACUCUUAAGUCGGUGGUGAAAUCCUGGAGCUCAACUCCAGAACUGCCUUCGAUACUGUGAGUCUUGAGUCCGGGAGAGGUGAGUGGAACUGCGAGUGUAGAGGUGAAAUUCGUAGAUAUUCGCAAGAACACCAGUGGCGAAGGCGGCUCACUGGCCCGGUACUGACGCUGAGGUGCGAAAGCGUGGGGAGCAAACAGG